UACGUAGGGUGCGAGCGUUAAUCGGAAUUACUGGGCGUAAAGUGUGCGCAGGUGGCUUCGCAAGUCGAGUGUGAAAUCCCCGGGCUUAACCUGGGAAUUGCGCUCGAAACUACGGAGCUGGAGUGUGGCAGAGGGAGGUGGAAUUCCACGUGUAGCGGUGAAAUGCGUAGAGAUGUGGAGGAACACCAAUGGCGAAGGCAGCCUCCUGGGCCACUACUGACGCUGAGAAGCGAAAGCGUGGGGAGCGAACAGG
RNAcentral lists this ribosomal RNA (253 nucleotides) under uncultured bacterium. RNAcentral's name for it is "partial 16S ribosomal RNA". It matches the Rfam family "Bacterial small subunit ribosomal RNA", at positions 524 to 776 of the family's 1533-position model. The record is from RNAcentral.